Molecule: ribosomal RNA, 389 nt
Filed under: uncultured bacterium
Lineage: Bacteria
Description: bacterial SSU rRNA
Rfam family: Bacterial small subunit ribosomal RNA
Source: RNAcentral
GACGAACGCUGGCGGCGUGCUUAACACAUGCAAGUCGAGCGGUAAGGCCCUUUCGGGGGUACACGAGCGGCGAACGGGUGAGUAACACGUGGGUGACCUGCCCUCAGCUCUGGGAUAAGCCCGGGAAACUGGGUCUAAUACCGGAUAUGACUCCACGGUGCAUGUCGUGGGGUGGAAAGCCUUGUGCGGCUGAGGAUGGGCCCGCGGCCUAUCAGCUUGUUGGUGGGGUGAUGGCCACCAAGGCGACGACGGGUAGCCGGCCUGAGAGGGCGACCGGCCACACUGGGACUGAGACACGGCCCAGACUCCUACGGGAGGCAGCAGUGGGGAAGUCUUGCGCAAUGGGCGAAAGCCUGACGCAGCGACGCCGCGUGAGGGAUGACGGCCUC